Xenopus laevis (African clawed frog) is the source of this 865-nucleotide long non-coding RNA. RefSeq lists it as uncharacterized. The record is from RefSeq and is a predicted model, not a curated record. The transcript is spliced from 3 exons. Lineage: Eukaryota; Metazoa; Chordata; Amphibia; Anura; Pipidae.
UGAGGCGAAAUAGGGCGCUGGGUGGGAAAUCCUAGGCGCGCUUUUUUUUUUUCCCCUCUUCUCGUCAUGUCUUUUAUCUGUUUAGAUUCUGGCCGCGUUACGAAAGGUAAUUGAACAUUGAUUAUGUAUCGGAACAUUCUGAGUGCUGAAAUUACCUUCUGCAUAGAUUGAGCGGUCACAGAGUGAAACACAGAACACAAUGUGCAUAUAAGAUUAUUCACAAGGACACUUAUUGAAAGGAAACUUUGUACCCUUUUUUGGACACAUUUACAAGUAUGGACAUUAUCAGGAAUCUAGAUGGGACUUGUGAUUUGGAUACAUUGGCUCAGCCUUCCAAAAUUGAAUGGAUUGGAACACAUUUGGGACACUUGCAACACAAUUAAUGAUCACUAAUGGACACAGUUGUUCCCGCCCAACACCACCACUGUUUCCCCACCCACAAUUCACUCUAUUUAACACAGAACAGUAUGUGAUUUCACAGGCUUAAGAAAGGGUCCUGUGAGGCCCGAAAUGUUGCCACAUGUCUGCUCACAUUUGAGCCAAUAAAAAACACCUUUGAAUAUUAUACAAUUUGCAGUGUGCUGCAGUAUAUUGGACUUUUACUAGGGCAUAGAGGAGGGGCAGGCAAUAACUGAUUGACAGCUGAGAUUUUUAAAUGCCGCUUUGAAUUGUUUAAUAAAAAAAAAUUGGAUUCAAUGUUUAAUUUGAAAAGGACUUUUAUUAUUCCUGACCUACUUUUUAUAACCAACCACUGAAAGGGAGGGUUAAUGGGCAUCUGUUCAGAUUAUCUCCAUAUCAUUAUCUCCAUAUCUCAGGCAUGAGACAAGUAUGGGUUUCUUUAGCCACUCUAAGGGUAAAGUCACAU